GCCCUGAUAGCGGAAUUGGUAUACGCAACGGUUUUAGGAGCCGUUUACUUGUGGGUUCGAAUCCCACUCAGGGCA
Molecule: transfer RNA, 75 nt
Filed under: Actinomycetota bacterium
Lineage: Bacteria; Bacillati; Actinomycetota
Description: tRNA-Leu
Rfam family: tRNA
About the family: Transfer RNA (tRNA) molecules are approximately 80 nucleotides in length. Their secondary structure includes four short double-helical elements and three loops (D, anti-codon, and T loops). Further hydrogen bonds mediate the characteristic L-shaped molecular structure. tRNAs have two regions of fundamental functional importance: the anti-codon, which is responsible for specific mRNA codon recognition, and the 3' end, to which the tRNAs corresponding amino acid is attached (by aminoacyl-tRNA synthetases). tRNAs cope with the degeneracy of the genetic code in two manners: having more than one tRNA (with a specific anti-codon) for a particular amino acid; and 'wobble' base-pairing, i.e. permitting non-standard base-pairing at the 3rd anti-codon position.
Source: RNAcentral